CCUACGGGAGGCAGCAGUGGGGAAUAUUGGACAAUGGGCGCAAGCCUGAUCCAGCCAUGCCGCGUGAGUGAAGAAGGCCUUCGGGUUGUAAAGCUCUUUUGUUGGGAAAGAAAAGCUUUCGGUUAAUAACCGGGAGUUCUGACGGUACCCAAAGAAUAAGCACCGGCCAACUUCGUGCCAGCAGCCGCGGUAAU
Molecule: ribosomal RNA, 194 nt
Filed under: uncultured bacterium
Lineage: Bacteria
Description: partial 16S ribosomal RNA
Rfam family: Bacterial small subunit ribosomal RNA
Source: RNAcentral